GACGAACGCUGGCGGCGUGCUUAACACAUGCAAGUCGAACGGAAAGGCCCUGCUUUUGUGGGGUGCUCGAGUGGCGAACGGGUGAGUAACACGUGAGUAACCUGCCCUUGACUUUGGGAUAACUUCAGGAAACUGGGGCUAAUACCGGAUAGGAGCUCCUGCUGCAUGGUGGGGGUUGGAAAGUUUCGGCGGUUGGGGAUGGACUCGCGGCUUAUCAGCUUGUUGGUGGGGUAGUGGCUUACCAAGGCUUUGACGGGUAGCCGGCCUGAGAGGGUGACCGGCCACAUUGGGACUGAGAGACGGCCCAGACGCCUACGGGAGGCAGCAGGGGGGAAUAUUGCAGAAUGGGCGGAAGCCUGAUGCAGCAACGCCGCGUGCGGGAUGACGGCCUUCGGGUUGUAAACCGAUUUCGCCUGUGACGAAGCGUGAGUGACGGUAAUGGGUAAAGAAGCAACGGCUAACUACGUG
This 468-nucleotide ribosomal RNA is filed under the name uncultured bacterium. RNAcentral describes it as "partial 16S ribosomal RNA". It matches the Rfam family "Bacterial small subunit ribosomal RNA", at positions 28 to 507 of the family's 1533-position model. The record is from RNAcentral.